Molecule: long non-coding RNA, 1078 nt
Organism: Rhagoletis zephyria (snowberry fruit fly)
Lineage: Eukaryota; Metazoa; Arthropoda; Insecta; Diptera; Tephritidae
Source: RefSeq, a predicted model, not a curated record
UUAAAUUACAAAUUUUUUGGUUAAAGAAUUUGUGAAUUAAGUUGACGAUGUAAAUCUAUGGCAUUUUGAUAAAGCAACUUCUGGUAUAGCAUAUUUCACGAGGCAAUGCUUUCUAACCAGCUUAUGAGAUGGUAAUAAAAUUUACCGGUUACACAGAAUGCAAAAAGGGUUUAAAAAUUAACAGGAACUUUAUUUACUGGUUACACAAUGAAAUAUAUAAGACAAAAUGGCCUAUCUAGACAUAAGUUAUUUUACCAAAACGCCACAUAUAUGUAUAUUCUCAAAACGUUAUUUACAUUUAUUAAUAUAACAUUAUUUUUGAUUUUUUUCUAGGAAAUACAAUUGUGAUUGAUUUGAGGUGUUGGCGUGCCAUUCAGGUGAUUUCAUCAGCGAAUAGCUAUAGCGUAAAGGCGCGAAAAACGAGUUUUGCAACUACUAUUUUAUUGUUCUGCAACCCGUGGAAGUGGUUACUUUUUAACAUUUGCUGCUCUGUUAACAUUAAAAUUCCUUGCAAACAAUGUAUGCUAUCAGAACUGCAGUGGAAUGCAGAAAAUAGCAGUGGAAUGCAUUUUUUAAAACUACAUUUGCGCAUUACAAUAUGUGGUAUCUAUUUUCAUAGUGCAAUGCUUGACUGAACUGGCUGCUUGUUUAGAGUCAGACACUGUGGUCCUGGUCCCUGUGGCUGACUUCGUUGGGUGAUCAUAAAUCCAGGUUGGGCAAAUGCGUACGGAUAAAUCUUUUCCACCUUACGACUUAAUAAAAAGUACCCAAGAAUUUCAUCAAUGUUUUCGUCAUUGAAGAUCAACAAAAUUUUUGAAAAAGUUUUAGCUGUAGAGAUAUAUUUUUUUUAUAAAUUUAAUUAAUUGAAAUUUUCGUCCUACUAAGGUGUUUCGUGUUGGCUUUUGUAAGACAGUCUACAGUGCUAAUGCGCCACUUACUAAAACGUUGGCUGAGUUUAAUUAUAUUCCGAAUAUAAUAGAUUUGGACCUCUCUGGUACCAAACAUUUAUUUCAAACGCAAAUAACAAAAUUAUUUUCUAUGUAAUAACUCAAAUUAAUUCAACACACAUGUUUUAAUA